RNAcentral lists this microRNA precursor (76 nucleotides) under Myotis lucifugus (little brown bat). RNAcentral describes it as "mir-9229 microRNA precursor family". It matches the Rfam family "mir-9229 microRNA precursor family". The record is from Rfam by way of RNAcentral. Lineage: Eukaryota; Metazoa; Chordata; Mammalia; Chiroptera; Vespertilionidae.
GAAACACCCUUAUAGGGCAGGACUUGUUUUAGUGUGGCUUUGGCGCUCACUGAGUCUGCCCCCUGAGUGUGUCCCU